UUUGCGCUAGGGAUAGCAACGGCAUCCUUUUUAAAAACUGGAAAACGAUGUGUUUUAGCUAUGCCAACAAAUUAACACAAAACUUUGUACCUACUUGUUAAGACUAUAUUUUUAAAAAGAUAUAGUGGAUAGCCCGACCCUUG
Molecule: small RNA, 143 nt
Filed under: Algibacter pectinivorans
Lineage: Bacteria; Pseudomonadati; Bacteroidota; Flavobacteriia; Flavobacteriales; Flavobacteriaceae
Description: Pontirhabdus pectinovorans Flavo-1 RNA
Rfam family: Flavo-1 RNA
Source: Rfam by way of RNAcentral